This 468-nucleotide ribosomal RNA is filed under the name uncultured bacterium. Its description in RNAcentral is "partial 16S ribosomal RNA". It matches the Rfam family "Bacterial small subunit ribosomal RNA", at positions 28 to 507 of the family's 1533-position model. The record is from RNAcentral.
GACGAACGCUGGCGGCGUGCUUAACACAUGCGAGUCGAACGGAAAGGCCCUGCUUUUGUGGGGUGCUCGAGUGGCGAACGGGUGAGUAACACGUGAGUAACCUGCCCUUGACUUUGGGAUAACUUCAGGAAACUGGGGCUAAUACCGGAUAGGAGCUCCUGCUGCAUGGUGGGGGUUGGAAAGUUUCGGCGGUUGGGGAUGGACUCGCGGCUUAUCAGCUUGUUGGUGGGGUAGUGGCUUACCAAGGCUUUGACGGGUAGCCGGCCUGAGAGGGUGACCGGCCACAUUGGGACUGGGGUACGGCCCAGACUCCUACGGGGGGCAGCAGGUGGGAAUAUUGCACAAUGGGCGGAAGCCUGAUGCAGCAACGCCGCGUGCGGGAUGACGGCCUUCGGGGUGGAAACCGCUUUCGCCUGUGACGAAGCGUGAGUGACGGUAAUGGGUAAAGAAGCACCGGCUAACUACGUG